RNAcentral lists this ribosomal RNA (531 nucleotides) under Triticum aestivum (bread wheat). RNAcentral describes it as "partial small subunit ribosomal RNA". The record is from RNAcentral. Lineage: Eukaryota; Viridiplantae; Streptophyta; Magnoliopsida; Poales; Poaceae.
AUGAACAUCGCUCUCUUGUCCAAGUGGUUGUGGCGGAUUGAGAUCAAUGAUGGCAGACUAUGGCUAGAGAUUAUCCGCGCAAAAUAUUUGCGAGGUCAGCCUCUCGCGUUCGCUUCUAGGGCGGGUGGAUCCCAGUUCUGGCAAUCCAUCAUUCAAAUGUUGCCGGUCCUUCGGAUAGGAUCUUCAAUUUGUGUUGGAUCUCGCACCAACACAUUAUUUUGGCUAGAUCGUUGGUCGAUUGAUAGACCGUUUGCGAAACGGUUCUAUCCCCUUUUUAGUAUUUGCGCUCACCCACAACUCACUAUGGAUGUGGCGCUUGGGGACCUUGGUUGCACCGCUUUCCAGCGCCCCUUCGGUCCUCUAGAAUGGGAUCUAUGGGAGGAGUUGCUUCAAUGCAUACCCCUCCACUCACCAAACCUAGAGCAAGACACCAUGUCCUGGCUUCUUGAACCGAGUGGCAUGUUUUCGACCAAGUGCCUAUACCAUACACUGGUGGCCACUCCGGGUCCGGUGGAGCUAACUCUUCUUUAG